UCUUGGGCGGCGAGGCCGUCACGGAGCUGUGCGUUCCCUCUUCCAGGCGCGUCUUUUUGGGCGGUGUGCGCCACACGAUUGCGGCGUGCCUCUUGUGGCCGGCCGCCAACUCCUCAGGCUCGGCUUCGCCCUCCUCCCUCUCCUGCGCCCGGCUCUGCGCUCAGAAUGCCUUUUUGCUUCUUGCUAUCAGUUGAGAAUUGCGGUACAGGUGAAAGGCCCCUGCUUCUACUUGGUGGCACGAACUUCACAGAUCACGGCCACGCUGCCAGGAGGCAUGUCCAGGAUCCUACUGUCAGCAAACUUCCCAGCCAUCAGGGGCUUCCACAAGUUUCCAAGAACCAAAUGUGGCCAUGAUCAUUGCUGCACAAGCAGAUGAGGCAGUCAGCAGGUCCUGGCCUCCCAAUGCAUGUGCAACCUAGAGAAUGACCACCAUCGUAUCUUUAACAAGCCAAGACCCAACAGUCUCAGCUGUGGCCACACUCGCCGCUCUGAACAUGGGAAGUGUAUGCAGAGCGCAGCGCAACCACCAUCAUGCGCUGCCGCACACCUGACCCCCAGGACAACAUGCUAUAUGGUAACGAAUAAGCUUCCCAUUCCCUGAACAGAGCAUUUGAAGAUUGCCUGCAGAGCGCCGUACACCCACACAGUAUCAAACCUAGACCUGCAGCAUGCCAUCUUCAACGCCAAUCACUAUCCCAGUUCAGGCCUAAAAGAUUGUACCUCUCCGUCUUCAGGGGGGGACCGCUGCCGCUCAGCGUCGCGCUUGGCCUUCUGCUCGGCGGCCAGCCGCUCCGCCGCGAUGCGUCGCAGGUCCCCCAGCAUUCCACUGGCGCCCCCCAACACCGACGGUGAGGCCCCCGCAAUCCCCCCGCCCCGGCCGGGGGGCCCAGGCGGCCCCGGCCGCUCGGCCUCG
RNAcentral lists this long non-coding RNA (913 nucleotides) under Coccomyxa subellipsoidea. Its description in RNAcentral is "long non-coding RNA (CSUB_LNC000182)". The record is from RNAcentral. Lineage: Eukaryota; Viridiplantae; Chlorophyta; Trebouxiophyceae; Coccomyxaceae.